Molecule: long non-coding RNA, 263 nt
Organism: Homalodisca vitripennis (glassy-winged sharpshooter)
Lineage: Eukaryota; Metazoa; Arthropoda; Insecta; Hemiptera; Cicadellidae
Exons: 2
Source: RefSeq, a predicted model, not a curated record
UUUUGAUACAGAUUACGAAAUUAAACCAAAUUAUUUAUUGUUGUCACUAUUUUAAACCUAACAUUUAAUCAGUAAAAUGGAUUACUUCCUAAAAGAGGUGGGGUCAAUAAAACCUUCCGUAAGGGAGGAGACUGAUACCAAGAGAAGACAGCCAUAUCGGUCAGAACAGGUAAAAUGCUCUUGGGAAGUCAACAGUCUGAAAUUGUACUUACUGCAGGUAUAACUAUAACUUUAUUCAAAAUAUUAAAUUUUGGUCCGUUAUA